GGUUCGGGAGCCAUCCGGUGGGACGGAUGGCGGGUAUGGAACCGCCCCCCUUAUCGCCAGGCGUUGCGCAGUGGGCCCCGACACUGCGCCGCA
This is a non-coding RNA of Thioclava sp. SK-1, 93 nucleotides long. The record is from Rfam. Lineage: Bacteria; Pseudomonadati; Pseudomonadota; Alphaproteobacteria; Rhodobacterales; Paracoccaceae.